RNAcentral lists this ribosomal RNA (253 nucleotides) under uncultured bacterium. RNAcentral's name for it is "partial 16S ribosomal RNA". It matches the Rfam family "Bacterial small subunit ribosomal RNA", at positions 524 to 776 of the family's 1533-position model. The record is from RNAcentral.
UACGAAGGGGGCUAGCGUUGUUCGGAAUUACUGGGCGUAAAGCGCACGUAGGCGGCAUGUUAAGUCAGGGGUGAAAUCCCGGGGCUCAACCCCGGAACUGCCUUUGAUACUGGCAUUCUCGAGUCCGGAAGAGGUGAGUGGAAUUCCGAGUGUAGAGGUGAAAUUCGUAGAUAUUCGGAGGAACACCAGUGGCGAAGGCGGCUCACUGGUCCGGUACUGACGCUGAGGUGCGAAAGCGUGGGGAGCAAACAGG